CGACCUGAGCUCAGGCAAGGUU
RNAcentral lists this ribosomal RNA (22 nucleotides) under Volvox carteri f. nagariensis. Its description in RNAcentral is "partial 28S ribosomal RNA". Lineage: Eukaryota; Viridiplantae; Chlorophyta; Chlorophyceae; Chlamydomonadales; Volvocaceae. The record is from RNAcentral.